UCCUAGGAAUGGGGCAGUGUCUUCAGAGGAUUUCUGGUCCUCGGUAUUCUCACCAGCAGGGAAUACCUCUAUGUCCACACAGUCCUUCACUGUGUCCUCUGUGUGUUGUUCUUUCUCAGUAUUGUGCAAGAUUUCUCUUUUCCCCACAUUCGCCACGAUUUCAUUUUUCACCUCCACUUCACUGGCUCUUCCUAAAAGACCAUUGAGAAAAUUGAAGGGACCCCAUGAUGUGGCGGCCACAUAAUCUACAUUAGAAUGUAAACACACGUUCCAAAUCC
Molecule: long non-coding RNA, 278 nt
Filed under: Homo sapiens (human)
Lineage: Eukaryota; Metazoa; Chordata; Mammalia; Primates; Hominidae
Description: lncAB348.1
Source: RNAcentral